GACGAACGCUGGCGGCGUGCUUAACACAUGCAAGUCGAGCGGUAAGGCCUUUCGGGGUACACGAGCGGCGAACGGGUGAGUCACACGUGGGUGAUCUGCCCUGCACUUCGGGAUAAGCCUGGGAAACUGGGUCUAAUACCGGAUAUGACCUCCUAUCGCAUGGUGGGUGGUGGAAAGAUUUAUCGGUGCAGGAUGGGCCCGCGGCCUAUCAGCUUGUUGGUGGGGUAAUGGCCUACCAAGGCGACGACGGGUAGCCGACCUGAGAGGGUGACCGGCCACACUGGGACUGAGACACGGCCCAGACUCCUACGGGAGGCAGCAGUGGGGAAUAUUGCACAAUGGGCGAAAGCCUGAUGCAGCGACGCCGCGUGAGGGAUGACGGCCUUCGGGUUGUAAACCUCUUUCAGCAGGGACGAAGCGCAAGUGACGGUACCUGCAGAAGAAGCACCGGCUAACUACGUG
This 462-nucleotide ribosomal RNA is filed under the name uncultured bacterium. RNAcentral's name for it is "partial 16S ribosomal RNA". It matches the Rfam family "Bacterial small subunit ribosomal RNA", at positions 28 to 507 of the family's 1533-position model. The record is from RNAcentral.